Molecule: long non-coding RNA, 673 nt
Filed under: Pan troglodytes (chimpanzee)
Lineage: Eukaryota; Metazoa; Chordata; Mammalia; Primates; Hominidae
Description: long non-coding RNA NONPTRT010203
Source: RNAcentral
AAGUCUCCGCUUUGGGGCUACUUCUCAGCAUGAGAACUCCUUAAGAGGUGGGGACGUGUUCACAACGGCAAAACUCAGCUGCCUGUACGUUGAGUGUCGCAGAGCACGGGACGCAGGGCGGGGCUUCUGGACCAGCGCGCAUCCCAAUUGGCUCUCGGGGCUGCCUUUUAGCCGGACGCGCGGAGGUGCCGCGGCCUGGCCCAGGCCUCACACACCUCACCUGGCAUGGCUGAGUGCUGAGCUGCUGCCCAUCUUCCUGAGCGAGGCUGUGGGCGGUGAGUCUUGAGGUGCACGGGGUAGGUGCACGAGGUGGGUGGAUCAUGAGGUCAGGAGACCAAGACCAUCCUGGCUAACAUAGUGAAACCCCGUCUCUACUAAAAAUAGAAAAAAUUAGCCAGACGUCGUGGCACACACCUGUAGUAGCAGCUAUUCAGGAGGCUGAGGCGGGAGAAUCGCUUGAACCCGGGAGGCGGAGGUUGCAGUGAGCCAAGAUUGUGCCACUGCACUCCAGCCUGAGUGACACAGCAAGACUCCAUCCCAAAAUAAAUAAAUAAAUAAAUAAAUAAAUAAAUAAAUAAAUAGCUUUUGGGCUGAGAUGAUGGGGUCAAACAGGGAUAGUUUGACUUCCUCUCUUCCUACUCGAAUACACUUUAUUUCUUUCUCUUGCCUAAUU